AGAGGAAGAGGACGCGAGCGAGCAGAUGGAGGCCUGUUAAAAGCUGGUGACUAUUUAAAGAGGGAGGAAGGGGGUUUCUGUGCUUGUAUGCUCAUCUUGUUCCCAAGGCCAGUUCUAGUAAAUCCUUUUAGAGAGAAAGAGAUGAAGCCAUCUGUUAAUGUGGAUUUUGCUUUAGGUUUCCAAAUAUUAUAGCUGUCAGCAGAGCAGCCAGCUUAAGUGGUGGGGUUGGGAGAGUAGAAGAGGAUAUUCAGAAGGAACACCUGUCCACUGAAUGCCCCACUAAACAGAAACAAAUCCUGGGGCGACCCCUCUCUGAUUCCUGGAGUGCUUUCUCUGGGCAGUGCUCCUUCUCCAUGGCUUUGGGAGUUUCUCUUCCAUGACGUAGGCAAGAGGGAGAGAGGUGCCAGCUCUCACAAUUGAGAGCCCUUUGGCCGAGUGUGUUGUGGGAGGGUGGAGCGUGCCACAAAGGCUUAAAGAAAUGGAUGACCAACUUAAAACAUUCUGGAUUAUUUGAAGGUUUAGCUUAAAAAAACAACCCCAGUUCAGAAUUCAGCGAAAAGAACAAUACCAUUAAGGAAAAAGAGCAGGGUAGGAAACCCACACAGAGGAAUGGAUCUGCCCAUGCAGCCCGAAUGACAGGGGCGCACUCUGAGGAAAGGAGUUUUGCAGAGAAAGUCAUUCCGACUCUUCUCUCUCGGGCCACAGUCUGUGAUAAUUCCUCCAUAAAAGCAUUAAUAGGAAAUAAAUCUAAAACCCAGAGGGCUAGUGGUCGUGGGCCACAGUUCCCAGGAGCCCUUCCCUGAGGCCAGGGGAGGUCCCUCUCCACCCCCCUCGCCUGGCGCGGAAUGUGGCGAUCCUGCCCUAGGCAGGGAUGACUUCAUGCGGUGGGUCUGGGCAGCUGAGCAGCUGCUGCGGCCGGCAGGUAAGGUGGGGGCCGUGGUGACCGACCGUGCACACCCCGGUGGAGGCUCUGCCGCCGGACUGCUGCGGGCUCCAGGGACGUGAGCUGACUGGAUCCCGAGAAGUUUCUUGAGUUUCUGGGAAGGCCUGGUUUCCCCAAAGGAGCAAUUUCUGGUAGAAGUCUGAAGGUCUGAUCAAAGAAAAAAAAUCCAGCAUAGCCAAUGAAUUAAGGACAAGAAGGUUUCCACUCAGUCCCUGCUAUGCGGAUAUUUGUUAGCAAUGACUGAUGUGGAAACCACAUAUGCAGAUUUUAUUGCUUCGGGAAGAACAGGUAGAAGAAAUGCAAUACAUGACAUCCUGGUUUCCUCCGCAAGUGGCAACAGCAAUGAAUUAGCCUUGAAAUUAGCAGGUCUUGAUAUCAACAAGACAGAAGGUGAGGAAGAUGCUCAACGAAGCUCAACAGAACAGAGUGGGGAAGCUGAGGGGGAAGCAGCCAAAUCUGAAAGCUAAUACCCCACUUUUAUCUUCCUCUACCUGACCAUGUCUCAGCUCUCCAGGCCUGGUUGGAUUGCAUUUGUAUACAUGAGUGACAAAGGGAGAAAGAACAUGGUUGUUCCACACAGCAGGAACCUGCUCGCUGUCAUGUUAAACAUGGGGGCAGAGGCUCUGGCUGCAGACAGACUCUUCUCUGCCCUUGUCAUUAGCAAUGGCUGAAGUCAUGUGGCUUGUGUCUGGACAUCAUUAUGUAUGGAUCCUUUCACUUGACCACAUGAUGAAAUGCUUGUAGACAGUAGCAGUGACCUAGAUGAUGAUUCUCCCUGUAGCAUCUGGCCCCUCCCAAUGUCAGAGGAUUUAAUUGUGUGUAAUUGCAAAGGGUUGGUUGAACCCCAGAGUUUAACUAUCUCUGGCCCAAGUAUUCACCCAGUAAGAAUACCAUCCAGAAAGCACUGUUUUUAGCAUUUUGUGUCCAUGUGUUCCUGCUGUGUUACUUACACUUUUUUGUAUUGUACAAUAGAGAUGCUUGGCACUGCCCUCUUCUUUGAUUGCUCAUGAAAAACAAAAAUAAUGUACAUUACUGUGAAUUUUUAUACUACUCAUUUUUUAAAGGGCUGUCUUUUUUCUUUUCCAUAGUGUGGUGGUGUACACAGGAUAGAACAUACUUUUUUUUAACAAUCUUUCCCCUUGAUCCACUGCUGAUGGAUCAAUUAAGUCUAAUAGAUUCAACAAGACUCCUUUGCUUUUUAUGCAGGCAUUUGGAAUUUUCCAUUAAUGUGAAUAUUACCUGAAAUCAGUUUGUUUGGUGUCUGCACAGACCAGAAUUUCACCUGCAAAUCUUGUUUUAUUCCCAAGAAUAAAGUGGAACACUUUUCCCAACUAAUAUUUUUAUCUUUAAUUAUGAGGAUUUAAAGAAUUGGGAAGGUAGAAAAGAGAAGCCAAGAUAGUGAUAACUAAUAGAAAUGUUUUAUUCUUAUAGAAUCAAAUUUCUCACAAUGCUGUAUUUUUCUCACAAUGUUUAAAUUUGGAAGACAGCACAGGAAAAUGAAAAUAAUGGAGAAAAUGAUCUCCUUGCAAUCAUGUGGACACCAAUCACAAAGCUAACACCCUUGUGUUGUGUUUUUCUUGUCCUUUUUCAGCCCUAUCAGAUCCAAAUAUUAUUAUGCACUUUUUAAUGUUUGUAAACUUUUACUAAUAACUAGUGUGAAUUACAUUCUGAUAGAAUAAUCAUCAUAAUUAGAAGCUAACAAAAUCCUCAUUAAUACUGUUGAUGGCCUCAGCUGUGUUUUGACAUCAUGGUUCUUAUUUGGAAAGUUUCUGUGAGCUGUGUGAUCCCUCUGGUCAGUAUUAUGAACUCACUUAUCAGUGGUAAUAAAUUGGCUCAUGAAUUACUGAACAACAGGAAGAACUUUACAAUAAAGAGCCCACUUAACUGUCCUCGAGGUCUUAGUAUAGUCCCAUGUAAAGCAGGCUAAACAGCAUUUCAACAGGUAGCUGUAUAAGGACUUACCAAGAACUCGUCCCUCCUUUGUACUUGCAAAUGAGAUGAAAGAUAAGUCUGCCCUCACCCCUUCCCUUUACAGUACUUUUCAAAUGAGAAGGAUAGUGGGGCAUAGGUAUCAUUUGGUCCUCAAUCAUAGAUUCCUAGGGGGAAAAAUGUUAUAGCAUGAGUCUCUC
This is an RNA transcript of Phyllostomus discolor (pale spear-nosed bat), 3072 nucleotides long. It is a transcript of the gene named cAMP-dependent protein kinase inhibitor alpha, with no coding region annotated. NCBI's taxonomy places the organism in Eukaryota, Metazoa, Chordata, Mammalia, Chiroptera, Phyllostomidae. The record is from RefSeq and is a predicted model, not a curated record. The transcript has 4 exons.